GACCUUAAUAAAGAUAAAAAGCUAAACAAUAAUACUGGCAGUUCAGAGAUAAAAGCUAACUGACCUUUGCUGUCCGUUAUUGCAGGAAAGAUUUGCUCAGAAAUCAGAGCAGCUCUGAUCCUCUGCCAGCCUUCACAAGUCCAUAUCACUGCACACUCACUCCAUCUCCGUCAGCAUUCGCGUUCAAGCAGUGUCACAUCGGUUUCGCCAGGCUAGUGCGGGUUAAUGAGAAACUGUGUGUGUAUGCAGGCACAUAUUCACAUGUUGGCUUUACAGGCCACAGCAACAAUCUUCAAACAUUGCUGAUUUGUAUCGAUAUGGACAAAAUGCAAACAAAACCUUUUGACUUCUCCAGUAGCAAGAAUGAGACAAAUUCAGUUCAAUUUUCUUUGUCUAGCACUUUUAAUAAUGUCACAAAGUAACUUUAUUGAAAUAUGGAUGGAGAUUUAGAACCCUAACAAGGAAUCCAGAUACGACAGUGACUACGUUUGAAUGCAUAUCAAUAUUUCGAUAUUAAUCUAAAUUUAGCAAUACUCUAAGUAGUAUUGAGUCAUGUAAACGCCACAGUCCGAUUGCCUGAUUGAGAUUAAGACAAUAUUCUGCAACACGAAUAUAGAGCUUACAUGGAAUUUGGGUAGGGUUAGGGUUAGGGUUUGGGUUAGGGGUUAGGGUUAGGGUUUGGGUUCGGGGUUAGGGUUAGGGGUUUGGGUUAGGGGUUAGGGUUAGGGUUUGGGGUUAGGGUUAGGGGUUAGGGGUAGGGUUUGGGUUAGGGGGUUGGGUUAGGGGUUUGGGUUAGGGUUUGGGUUAGGGGUUAGGGUUAGGAUUAGGGUUAUGGGCUAGUGUUAGGGUUAGGGUAGAGUUUAGGGGUUAGGGUUAUGGGUUAGGGUUAGGGUUAGGGGUGAAGGUUUGUGGUUAGGGUUAGGGUUAGAAUUAUCUCCCUGAGACGACACGAGGAAGAAAAGACGAAUCAAACAUAAAAGCGAACACAUCCUUUUCUGGGUCACAGCGGAUAGUGCUAUUAUAAAUCAUUACUCAUCUCCAGCUGCAUACUCUAAAGUUAAACAGUAU
Molecule: long non-coding RNA, 1068 nt
Organism: Ictalurus punctatus (channel catfish)
Lineage: Eukaryota; Metazoa; Chordata; Actinopteri; Siluriformes; Ictaluridae
Source: Ensembl